Molecule: long non-coding RNA, 1256 nt
Organism: Daucus carota subsp. sativus
Lineage: Eukaryota; Viridiplantae; Streptophyta; Magnoliopsida; Apiales; Apiaceae
Exons: 3
Source: RefSeq, a predicted model, not a curated record
UAUACUUCUUCGAUACAAGACCGUAUAGACCAUAUAUACGUCUCCCAAAUCGUAGGCCCGUGUUAAUCGGCAUUCCAGUGACAGAUAACUGCCGAUUGUUCCCCUAAAUUCACUCCCCCAAAUCAAAAUUGCCGAUUUGAUAUGAUAGACACGGCCGAGAAGCAAGCGCGAGGAGGACAACGAUAUCCUUUUGAUAAGUGUCUACAAAGCAAAGAUUGUUUCGAAGACGAGAAAUGAGUUCAGCUGUUUGUAUAUGGUUGCAGAAAGAAGAAGGAGCGCCAGACUCAUUGAGAAUCCUUGGGUGUACAACUGACGAAACAAGCCCCAGUUUAUUAAUUUUAUUAAUUUUGAUGAAAAGGUUGGGAACUGGAUUUAGGAAGCAACCAAUAAAGUAAGCAAGUCACCACAAGUUCAAGCAAACAAAAUGAAAGCUGACAGAGAACUACAAGUGCAACUGAUUUUGUUGUAAAGAACUGAACUUUAGAUAUAAGAUCAGAAUGGGUGCCGGGGAACGUGAGCCAAGCUGCGGAACAUAGUGACGAAGAUGAUGACUUUGUUACUCCAGAGAGCAAUUUGGGAAAACUAAGCUUGCAUAUAAAAGGUUUAAUGUGAAAGAUGGAGAAAGUAGAAUUGGGAAACGAGAUAUUACAACAACAAAAAAAAGGAAUAGAGAAACGGAGAAGACUAAGAUUUCUAAUUUGGAUGCUGCAAACGGUGAGCGAGGUCGUAGAGAUGCAUUAAUUGGAGGCAGAGUUAAAAAAGGGAAGAAAAUUGAAACAACUGGUGAAGGAUAUCCUGCAGUAACGAGAUAUUUUAAAAUGACGGAGAUUGGAAGAGCGAUCUCACCUAAUAAAGAUGACAAAAUUAAAAAGGUGAGAUCGUAUAAGGAUAUAUUCAAAAAAAAUUCUCCCCGUCCAUCAUGACAGACAUCUUUAGGAACUUGGGUGACGAACAAAUCAGUGGGGUAAAGAAAACAAGCUUUGGGAAAUUACUAAAUUUCCAGAUCGUUUGCUAUGCUCACAAGAUAGGGUAUAAUAUAGUGGAAGCUUUCGAUGGUGAAGCCUGUGCGCUAGUUUUGGAAUGUGGGAUGAUAGAAAUCAGUGAUAUUGUUGUGAAACAUGUGAUUGGAUUGCUCAUUUGGAGUGUGCUGCUUACAAAAAGUGAAAAUGAUCAUAUUGUUCCUUAUGGGGACGUGAAGACUAUGUUGCGUAAAUUAUGUUUAAAAUUUGAAAGUAGACCAGUUUAUUUAUUUUAUU